Molecule: non-coding RNA, 1653 nt
Organism: Lolium perenne
Lineage: Eukaryota; Viridiplantae; Streptophyta; Magnoliopsida; Poales; Poaceae
Source: RefSeq, a predicted model, not a curated record
UCUUGGCCCGUUUCUUGAUCUGGUUUUCUUUCUUUUCUUUAUUUUUCUUCGAUCUAGUUUUGAUUCACUAUUUUGGGGGAAUCAGGUCCAUGUUGAUUUGCUAUACUUGGCGUGUUCCCAAUCGAGAUCAAAGUUGUUAUUUCUGUUGGGAUUUCUUGUGCGAGCAUGUUCUUGAUUCAGAUGAAGUGCACAAUAUUUCCGUUGGAAUUUCCAGGGAUAACGUAUUUGUUGGACAUUCUAUUUUGGACAAAAAAAUCAAAUUGGUGUCUGAUGUAUUCUAGCCUCAAUAAUUUUGGAUCCAAAUAUGCAGUCGUCCCUCUCUCUGUAACCACGAUGGAUCUUGCCGUGGGGUGCUUCCAUGGUUGACCUUGCCGUGGGGUCUCGAGCUCAGCCGGCGCCGUGCCUCCUUGGGGACAGAGGGCUGCCCUCGCCGCAUUCCCCCGACAGCGCCCGGCACCCCUCCAUCCUCCUCCCCCAUGGCUUCUGUCCCUGCGUCUCCCAUAUCGACGAGAAGGGAGGAGCCCUACUCCAGCCGCGGCGUGCUGCGAGCUGCGAGUACGGAGUUUAUGAGCGGCUCACCGGAUGUGUCGUACAGGCAGGAGGGAGGAGGGACUGCUCGUGUUCUGUAUUUUUUGGGCGAAAUUGGGUCUGUGCUGCUGGUCUCCGCAUUCAGUAUAUCUUAUAUCUCUCUCCUGCUCCUGGAUUCCAGUAGUUGAUUGCCUCGAUGGUCCACACCUGUUUCUGAUAAUGCUUGCUUAUGUGGAUUUUUGGAUCUAUUCAUGAUGUAGCAGAAGCCUUGUAUUAUUUUUUGUCUUCAGUCACGAAUUUAUUCAUGUAUCUGAAUCUAGCAGCGCAAAUCUCUACUAAACUUAGGAAUAGUCAGAGCUGUUAAUAAUGUGGAGCAUCAUGAUCCAUGUGUAUCUUUUGGAUUUUCUUCCUCUUGUUCACUCGUUUACCAAUGUCAAGUUCAAUGAUAUGCAAAGUAUUCACCUCCAGGUAGGGGAAUCGUGGAUAUAACAAUUGCAGAAUUGCUUUGUGCCAUCCACUAAAUAUGGCUUUGCUUUGUCCGUAACAAUUACAGAGAUCAUGCUUGGUGGCUUUACAUGUAUGAGGUGGUGAAUAUCCACGGCACUUGUGAAGGCAAAAUCUCCAUCGAAGAGGAGUGGAAUCCACCCGAUCCAGUGUGCUGAUCGCCGCAUCCUUUGUUAUCUCUGAAUGGCCAAACAAUUUGACUUUUCUAUUCCUUAGUCUAAUGUUUAUGAAUAAUGGCCAAGGCAUUCGAGGGAGGAGAAACUCCAGUGCCUGCCUUGUUCGACAGGCCUAAGAGAAAUUUCAGGCUAGCGGAACUCGGAAAGAUCGCGUCGUUUGGCAGGACUAUGCAUUGUCGCUUCGGCAUUUGCUGGAGCCUUCUUCAUAUGCAGCCGCAGGCAGGCAUUCGCGGCGAUGAACUGAAUCGGCGUGUUGCAUGCAUGUGCUUGCUGUUCGGCUCCUAUGCCGCAGCUGAGCGUUGAUCACUGAGGUGUCAUGUUGGGUGUCUUCUACUCAUUCUUCUUCUUAGUCAUUUUCUUCCACCGAGCUCAAGAUGUGUUCGCGUCCAUCACAUGAUCUGCCAGCGAUGAUUUCACAUGACCUUGAAUGUACUGUUUUCUCAUC